GACGACGCUGGCGGCGUUGGAUUAGGCAUGCAAGUCGAACGGUAUCAUCCUUUCGGGGGUGAGAGAGUGGCGAACUGGUGAGUAACACGUAGGUUAUCUACCUCAAGACGGGGGACAACCCAGGGAAACUUGGGCUAAUACCGGAUGUGAGCAACUUUUAGUUGUUUGAAAGGUGGCGUAAGCUGUCGCUUGGGGAUGAGCCUGCGUCCUAUUAGUUAGUUGGUGAGGUAACGGCUCACCUAGGCAAUGAUAGGUAGGCGGCCUUAACGGGUGGUCGCCCACACUGGGAUUGAGAUACGGCCCAGACUCCUACGGGAGGCAGCAGUCGAGAAUAGUCUACAAUGGUCGGAAGACUGAUAGUGCGACGCCGCGUGAACGAUGAAUCCCUUCGGGGUGUAAAGUUCUUUUAUAUGUGAGCAGUGCUUCUUAUAUUAACAGUAUGGGGAGAGAGAUAUUAGCAUAUGAAUAAGCAACGGCUAACUCCGUG
RNAcentral lists this ribosomal RNA (487 nucleotides) under uncultured bacterium. Its description in RNAcentral is "bacterial SSU rRNA". It matches the Rfam family "Bacterial small subunit ribosomal RNA", at positions 33 to 507 of the family's 1533-position model. The record is from RNAcentral.